GUCAGAAAUUAGUUUUACGAUAAGUUCAACACGCGAAUGGAACCAAUCAACUCGGAAGGCGCUAAAAAGAUAAACAACACCGACAAUAAGAAAACAAGCUCAAUCUAGAGACCCAAAGAAUGGAAAGUCAUUUAUCGAACGCUUCAAAGAAUGAAACCGUUUUCCGGCAGCAAACGACGACGAUGGAGACGGAUUGCCCAACACAAGACCAUUGCCCGAUAGUUCUCUAGGUGCUCCAAAUAGUCAAACUGCUCUCGAAGCCAAUAGAAGCAAACCAGCCCAACCAAACGUCCAUACUUUCCAAGCUUGAGCUUCAACUAGCUGUUGAACGAUAAGGAAUGUGGCCAAGUGCGUUAAGCAAUUGCUGUUCAUGGGCACGAAAACUCCGGACACCAGGUAAUCGCUUAAGGGAGUUUAAAUUGCUUAACACCUUUUAUCGCAUGAAUAGAGUUCAAUUAUAAGGUGCCAUUUUAUUGGGAA
Long non-coding RNA from Anopheles merus, 480 nucleotides. RefSeq lists it as uncharacterized. The transcript is spliced from 2 exons. Lineage: Eukaryota; Metazoa; Arthropoda; Insecta; Diptera; Culicidae. The record is from RefSeq and is a predicted model, not a curated record.